Vombatus ursinus (common wombat) is the source of this 553-nucleotide long non-coding RNA. RefSeq lists it as uncharacterized. The record is from RefSeq and is a predicted model, not a curated record. Lineage: Eukaryota; Metazoa; Chordata; Mammalia; Diprotodontia; Vombatidae. The transcript is spliced from 2 exons.
CUAUCUCUCUUCUUAAGCAAAAGCUUCUCACAGAUCCAGCCUGGAGGAGCAGCGCCUGCCUAGGCACCGAAGCUCAGAGAUGAAGGCUUUCUUCCUCCUCCUCCUUUUCUGCCUUGGGGCCCUGAUCGAGAUCGAGGCUUCCACUGCACUCUCACCAACCACAAAUCCUGCCACCAGCUCAUCCCAGAUGCUCCAUGGACCCUACACCUGGAGCAUCCUCAUCCUCGCCGGGGUCCUCGCUUACCUCUUUCGGCUGCACUGAGGCCUGGACGAGGCUACAGAGACUGCCAGCCUUGGCCCCUGCUCACCCACUCUUCAGGACCAGCCUCCUCUCCCUGAGGGCCCAUUCCUCUUGGCUACCAUAGACUUCUUCUCAUCGGCACCUCCCUCCCUCCCCAGCUGAGCAUCCCAUGGCCUCCUCGGGAGCUCUGAUGCCCAGCAUAGCACCUGUCAGCGAGGGUCAUGGAUUUAUUUCCUUAAUACUCCAAGGGUUAUAGUGAUGAGAGAGCAAAGCACUGACCUGCUUGACUCAAUAAAGUUAUUAAAGCCCUGA